CUCAAGGGUGUUUGUGAAAUA
This 21-nucleotide microRNA is filed under the name Oryza sativa (Asian cultivated rice). Its description in RNAcentral is "osa-miR2929". Lineage: Eukaryota; Viridiplantae; Streptophyta; Magnoliopsida; Poales; Poaceae. The record is from miRBase by way of RNAcentral.